Molecule: ribosomal RNA, 1496 nt
Rfam family: Bacterial small subunit ribosomal RNA
AGAGUUUGAUCCUGGCUCAGGAUGAACGCUGGCGGCGUGCCUAAUACAUGCAAGUCGAACGAGUUCUGAUUAUUGAAAGGUGCUUGCAUCUUGAUUUAAUUUUGAACGAGUGGCGGACGGGUGAGUAACACGUGGGUAACCUGCCCUUAAGUGGGGGAUAACAUUUGGAAACAGAUGCUAAUACCGCAUAAAUCCAAGAACCGCAUGGUUCUUGGCUGAAAGAUGGCGUAAGCUAUCGCUUUUGGAUGGACCCGCGGCGUAUUAGCUAGUUGGUGAGGUAACGGCUCACCAAGGCAAUGAUACGUAGCCGAACUGAGAGGUUGAUCGGCCACAUUGGGACUGAGACACGGCCCAAACUCCUACGGGAGGCAGCAGUAGGGAAUCUUCCACAAUGGACGCAAGUCUGAUGGAGCAACGCCGCGUGAGGUGAAGAAGGCUUUCGGGUCGUAAAACUCUGUUGUUGGAGAAGAAUGGUCGGCAGAGUAACUGUUGUCGGCGUGACGGUAUCCAACCAGAAAGCCACGGCUAACUACGUGCCAGCAGCCGCGGUAAUACGUAGGUGGCAAGCGUUAUCCGGAUUUAUUGGGCGUAAAGCGAGCGCAGGCGGUUUUUUAAGUCUGAUGUGAAAGCCCUCGGCCUUAACCGAGGAAGUGCAUCGGAAACUGGGAAACUUGAGUGCAGAAGAGGACAGUGGAACUCCAUGUGUAGCGGUGAAAUGCGUAGAUAUAUGGAAGAACACCAGUGGCGAAGGCGGCUGUCUGGUCUGUAACUGACGCUGAGGCUCGAAAGCAUGGGUAGCGAACAGGAUUAGAUACCCUGGUAGUCCAUGCCGUAAACGAUGAAUGCUAGGUGUUGGAGGGUUUCCGCCCUUCAGUGCCGCAGCUAACGCAUUAAGCAUUCCGCCUGGGGAGUACGACCGCAAGGUUGAAACUCAAAGGAAUUGACGGGGGCCCGCACAAGCGGUGGAGCAUGUGGUUUAAUUCGAAGCAACGCGAAGAACCUUACCAGGUCUUGACAUCUUUUGAUCACCUGAGAGAUCAGGUUUCCCCUUCGGGGGCAAAAUGACAGGUGGUGCAUGGUUGUCGUCAGCUCGUGUCGUGAGAUGUUGGGUUAAGUCCCGCAACGAGCGCAACCCUUAUGACUAGUUGCCAGCAUUUAGUUGGGCACUCUAGUAAGACUGCCGGUGACAAACCGGAGGAAGGUGGGGAUGACGUCAAAUCAUCAUGCCCCUUAUGACCUGGGCUACACACGUGCUACAAUGGAUGGUACAACGAGUUGCGAGACCGCGAGGUCAAGCUAAUCUCUUAAAGCCAUUCUCAGUUCGGACUGUAGGCUGCAACUCGCCUACACGAAGUCGGAAUCGCUAGUAAUCGCGGAUCAGCACGCCGCGGUGAAUACGUUCCCGGGCCUUGUACACACCGCCCGUCACACCAUGAGAGUUUGUAACACCCGAAGCCGGUGGCGUAACCCUUUUAGGGAGCGAGCCGUCUAAGGUG